AUAAAACAUGAUAUAUACAGUAGAAGAGUUUGUUUAAAACAAUACAUUUUACCUGUAUGAAAAUAAUGUAUUUAAAUGUCCCCUUUAUUUCUUUAAAAGUGUCUACUGCAUACCUAAGAAUGGAGGGGGCCCAAGUAGCAUUUGCUGUCUUCAUCCCCAUCAUCCUCCUCCUUGUCCUCGUUAUGGGGAUCUACCUCUACUUCUCAAAGGUUCAGAGGAAGCCACCACAUCUCUCCCUGUCGUCCAACCUACCAUAUGAAAACAUCACUGGAGAAUGUACGUUUGACAACUCAGUUUAUGAGACAACGGAAACAAGAGAAUAUGAGGUUUCGAUCUGAAGACACCAGUGUAUGUGUUUCAGUAUGGACAGAUAAGAAGCCUGCUGGCCUUUCCAACGUCUGUCAGACUCACACCUUUGGUGACUCCCUUCACCCUGUUCUCUGUACACUGAAUAUGAGCCUCCCUUUAUUUAUCCAACAGAGGACACCACACUACCCCUGGAAAGGCUGGGCUACCGGAUUAUUUUUCUAGCUCUUCAACAGCAACCGUCCAGCAGCAGCAGUUUGUACAGUUUUUAAUCCUGUGCUUGCAUCCUGAGGACUUCCAGUGCAAAGUGCCAUCUCAGAAAGCAGGGAAUCAAUGCGAAGCUUGUGCUAUUAAAUGCAUAUAACCACAGAUGUUACAUUGUGUUAUGUACAUUAUACGCUAUAUGUCUCCUGCCACCAUUUAAAGACCAUUCCUUGGAUUUAUGGGAUGUCUAUUAAGAGUAAAAUCUUACAAUUGAAACAACAGCAUUUGCUUUUAACAGAGUAUGCCCAAAUAAUUUGCUCUUUGAAUUGAUGCAACCUUCUGAGAUAAUCAGAAUGUGCCUUAAAUAAAAAGGGCCUUGAAGGAAUAUCUAUCUUUCUGAGAGUGAGAUGAGAAAAUUGAUAUCAUUAUCGUCUGCGUGUUAAGUACGGAGCUGGACUAAAAAAAUGCUAGAUUAUAGUUACCGAACAUAGUUUUGGGCUCUCAAGUCUCACGCAUUCACCAUGAGACAUGUAUUUGAACCAGUUCACACGCUCACACGCCACACCUUCUAUAAACCCAGUGAAAGCGAUAAUUGACGCGCCUGCAUCAAUCCCUCCCUUUUUUCACAUCAUUUAUGAACGCCAUUCCAAUCAUUAUUGGGCUUUUUAAAGAAACUUCGGACACUCAGCUGCCGUUACAGUUUGCAAUAUGUGCGCACCGCCGCUGCGCGAUUCACACAAUUCACACAAUCAUUAACCCUCGGGUUGUCCUCGGGUCAAAUUUGACCCAUUUUUAAAAAAAAAUGGGUUUAUCAGAAAAGUGGAUUUCUUUCAACCAAAUUUUCAGAAAAAUAACGCGGAUUGUUCCACACAAUGCUCUUCACACGUAAAAUAAAUGAUCAGCCCACUACUUUCUUUAAAUCUGGAUGUUUUAUUCAAUUUUAUAGCAUUAAAAAAACAAGAACAUUGAAAAAAGUGACAAACAUGUCCGCAAAGGCUUAAAAAACGUGGGGGGAAAAACCCACAAAAACGUCAAAGGCGCAGAAAAAAAUUGACAAAAACAUCGCAAAAAGUGACAAAAACAUCGGAGGGAAAAGCAACAAAAGCUUUAAAAAAGAUGAUCAAAACGUUGAAGAAAAAGUUUAAAUUUUGAACCAGAAAAACAAAAAGUUGCAUGGUUGACAGGAAGACAACACAAGGGUUAAUAUCCUCUGCUCUCGUAUUUCAACGUAAAAAAACUAACAGAAUACUGUGCGGAUCUCCGCUGUGCAUUCACGCACCACCACGCUGCCCUCACGCCUAGUGAAGUCAGUACACAAGGCAGACAGAAGUGAUGGCCUAAUGAAGCUUUGUGAAGCAUUUUCUUUAUUUUCUGGGCCCACCAGAUGGCGCUUUUGUUAAACAAAGGGUUGAACACUAUGGAUCCAUAGUACACUGAGCUGCCAUUCCUUGAGUGUUUUUCUUCAAACUGAGAGCACCAUCUAGUAGGCUCAGAAAAUAAAGAAAAUGCUUCACAAAGCUUCAUUUGGCCAUCACCAGAAGAAAGCAUUAAAUGGAGCAGCCACUGGUGUACUUUUAAACGUGAGUAGUCAUUCAUGGCACCAGCAGCUACUACUACUGCUCUGUGUGCAGACAGGAGAACUCAGGUGCCCAUCAAGGUGUGACAGAUAUGAACAGGCAGUCAACAAGUGUAAUAGUUUUAUGCUGUUCAGUGGACUCGUUUGGGGCCAAAUUUCUUUAUAUCUUUGAUAAAAAUUUUAUUUGGAUGAAUUUGUUUGUAAUUUAUCAGAUUUACCAAUUGUUAUAAUUUAUAUUGCUGGUAAGUUAUAAAAAAUAGUAAAAUUGAACUGCUAGCAAAACCUUUGAGAGAAUUAGACGUGGGAAGUAGGGGAGCAAGGGGUGCAAUAAAUAAGGUCUUAUGAUUCUUAUUACAAACGUUCUGGUCAGUCAGGAAUAGGCGUGUUUUGAAAUAUAAAUAGCUAUGAGUUUUGUGGGCUAAUGCACAAUAAGCCUAAUUCUCCUUUGCAAUAAUUCACAACAUUUACAAUCAGGGAGGCAGACUCAUAAAAAUAUACAAUAAUUAAGAUCAGUUUAUAUGAUAUAUAUAGGAAUGAUGGAAUAGGGGCAUUAAAAUGUGUCAGAGGCCACCAAAUUUGGGCUUUUAUGGCCAAAAAAAUUGGCUUCCCCCAGAACCCCCUAAAUCCCACCCCCAGAUGUGAUCUCACUCCAAACAUUUGAUAAAACUUGAGAACUCUUACUGAACGGAACUGGCGUUCUUGUUACUUAUAAGGUGAGUCAUGUCUUCAUGUAUAAUGAAUUCUAAAGUAGAUCACUGCUACGUUUGGUCUCAUAUUUAUUCACUACAUUGUCGCUUUGUGUGUUAACACCUGCGCAGUAUGCCGGUAACUACAUUCUAGCAUCUGCUUCCCGUAAUUAUGCUAAGUAAGGCUAACCACACACUGACUUCAGCAUGCAAUUGUUAUCAAUUUUCCCAUCUCACCCUCAGAAAGACAGCAAAUUAGGCAUUUUUACCAGAGUGAUGAACCACAAAGAAUCCCAGGCAUCGUACAAGUUUUUUAUUUAUAUUUUAGAAUGACAAUUUUUAUUUCAUUUAUAUCCAACAUGCAGAAUUAAAGACACAGACAUUUUGAUUUGGUUUACCAUCGUCAGAUUUGUGUAACACCUUUAAUUCAAAAACUUUUAGCAACAUCCUAUGUGUUGAACUUUUUUGAAGCAAAAGGAAAACGUGCACCAAGGUAAGCUGUUGCCAUCGCCUGUUUGGAGAUUGCGUCUAAAUUCAGACCAUUACUGUUGUUCAUACAUACAGUAUGUAUCCCAGCUCGUUGGAUGACAAUGAUAAUAUUAACCUAUUUUUGAUUCAUUGUAAGUACUGAUUAAGCUACUUCACAAGCAUCUUCAAUAAAAG
This is a long non-coding RNA of Sander lucioperca (pikeperch), 3435 nucleotides long. The record is from Ensembl. Lineage: Eukaryota; Metazoa; Chordata; Actinopteri; Perciformes; Percidae.